AAAAACCUCCUCCCCACAAAUCACACGAAAGUGGACACGGUGUUACCCAAAGUGUCCAUUAUUGGAAAGGGGGGGGGGAGUAAUGCCCCCUACUAGAAAGCCCCAGUGCAGGGCUGGGGCCACCCCCCGCGUUAAAACCAGCUCUUCAAGUGGUCGGGAUAAUUAUUGGCUUUAAGGUGCCGGGCCGGUUUUUAAGUUCCUGGAAAAUCAGGUGGCCUAACUAUCUUCUUGUAAAAUCUGUUUUUUAAAGGGGGGGGAAGGGCUGGGACUUUAGGGGGGGGGGAAAAUCUUAUAUCCCUUGGGGACCACCAUUGGCGAAGGCGUCAACUUGGAACGCGCCUGCCGGUGAGGAAAAACCCAGGGGAGGAAUCUGUUUUAAUUCCCCGGGUAGCCCUGCGGAAAGGGAGGGGAUGCCCCUCGCUCAUUUGGGGGGUUGGUGGAAGCUCAGGGGCCCAGGUAUGAAAGAAGACAACAUCAUUAUUUUAGGGGAAGGGAAUUCUUUUAACUCGAUUGCCCUUUAUAGGGUAAUUUUACUUUGGCAAAUCUGGCUAACCUGUUUUUGAAUUAA
This 568-nucleotide ribosomal RNA is filed under the name uncultured archaeon. Its description in RNAcentral is "partial 16S ribosomal RNA". It matches the Rfam family "Archaeal small subunit ribosomal RNA", at positions 342 to 859 of the family's 1478-position model. The record is from RNAcentral.